AGUGAACGCUGGCGGUAGGCCUAACACAUGCAAGUCGAACGGCAGCACAGUAAGAGCUUGCUCUUACGGGUGGCGAGUGGCGGACGGGUGAGGAAUACAUCGGAAUCUACUUUUUCGUGGGGGAUAACGUAGGGAAACUUACGCUAAUACCGCAUACGACCUACGGGUGAAAGCAGGGGAUCUUCGGACUUUGCGCGAUUGAAUGAGCCGAUGUCGGAUUAGCUAGUUGGCGGGGUAAAGGCCCACCAAGGCGACGCUCCGUAGCUGGGCUGAGAGGAUGAUCAGGCACACGGGAACUGAGACACGGUCCAGACUCCUACGGGAGGCAGCAGUGGGGAAUAUUGGACAAUGGGCGCAAGCCUGAUCCAGCCAUACCGCGUGGGUGAAGAAGGCCUUCGGGUUGUAAAGCCCUUUUGUUGGGAAAGAAAAGCAGCAGGUUAAUACCCCGCUGUUCUGACGGUACCCAAAGAAUAAGCACCGGCUAACUUCGU
This 491-nucleotide ribosomal RNA is filed under the name uncultured bacterium. RNAcentral's name for it is "partial 16S ribosomal RNA". It matches the Rfam family "Bacterial small subunit ribosomal RNA", at positions 29 to 506 of the family's 1533-position model. The record is from RNAcentral.